CACAGAGCACUCAUAAAAAUUAAUUACUAAAUGAUAUUGACAGUGAAGUGCUGCUGGAUGGUUAGGCAGUGCUUUGAGACAGUGAUAAGUCAGUAAGUGUCUCUGAGAUGGUUGAUUCUUCAGAAUUGGAUCUCGGUAACUCAGAUCCUACUCAAAAUGUAAAGACAGACAUGAAUGUGUUAAGAGAAUGUAUAAGACUGUGAGGAAUUCUGACACUGAAGUAGCAAAAUGAAUAAAAAUAGCGUUAACUGCAGGAAGCAGUUGGAUUCUCAUUCACCACACAAUGUAUUUUAGUCUCCUCUUUAUGCUACAAUACUUCUUUAAUGAUACUGCAGUGAAGACUUGAUUAUACCAUAUAGUGUUUUCUUUGAAAAAGAAGAUAUUUGGAUUGCUAGCCCAUAGCAAUUGCAAUCCUGCUUAAAUUCAACAGCCAACUACAGAUGAGCAUUUGGACAGGUCUUCUCUCAGACUGAACAAACUGUGGACUAUUUAUUUUACAGAGGCUUCUUGGACCACAGCUGAUAGGUCAGUACCCUAACUGAGGAGAUGCUGUGGAGAUACGUACGUCUUCCAAAAUGACAGUAGUGCCACACAGCACUUUCCAGUUGUGAUGGUCAAAAAGACAGAAAACAAAUCAGAUCAUGAGUUAGCUAUCUAAACCCCAGAUCGUAGUACUAAGAUAUUAAUCAUAGUACUAAGAUAUUAAGAUGGAUCAUAGUACUAAGGUUUUAAUAUCACACUGUACUGAAUUGUUUUGUACCAUGCUGUCAUUAACAGAUUAUCAAAGCUUUACUUACUUGUGAAUUAAGCGAUAUAAUUAACUUCCAUUGUAAAUGAACUGAAAGACGAACGUUGCACAACAUUCAGUAUUUGUGGUGUGAAUUUGGAAACAAGAAAACAGCUGUAGACUCAGCUAUGAAGUAUUCCUAUUGCUGCACUGGUCCCCAAAAAUAUCUUUCCAAGUUAAAGCACUGGAAUUUGUAUGAGAACGCUACAAGGGGAUACCAAAUGUACUCAUUUGUAGGUUUGAUUUUUGGAAAUACUUCAGACAUUAUAUGGUGAGCCAGUUACUUCAUUAUUACAUGCAAGUAAUUCAGUUUUAGGAGAGCCUAUUGCUUUCUAGAUAAUUUCUGUUUAUGGUGUCAGGUAUUAUUUGUGAAUACAGGGUCUUAAUACAUACAAUUAGACCAGAAGUCCUCACUGAAACAAAGGCUAUUAUUGGUCUGGCAAAUACAGCCUUCAUUUUCUCAUCUAAGUACAUUAAUAGUACUCAAACAUAACUCUUCUAUUUAAUUCAGACACAAUAACAUCGUUAUCUUGGCUUCCUUGUGGCUUGACAUACAAUCAACUGAGAUACAAAAGAGGAGUCACAAUGAGAUCUUCAGAAAGCUAAUCAUUCCACAAGGUAACUGAACUUAGAUGUCCUGUUCCAAAACACUUUUAAUGUCCUAUUUGAGUAGAAGCAGCUGGGCUGCUGUGGGGGAACUGUUAGGUCAGGUCUUGAUUGAGCACCUGGUGAAGGGGUGUGUCUGGCCAGGGAGCACAGGCAAACUGCUUGCACCUGUGUUCCCCAUUAUGAUUAUAUAAGGGGGUGGACCCAGCAUAGAACCCUCUGGGCUUAUGUGAGGGCCAGCCACUGGAAGGAGAGCAUCUUUUGGAUGUUGGCUGUUUUCUGAGAAGGAGACUUCAUCUGGAUCAGAGGAAUUCUUAUGGAUGGGUGUUUUGCCAGAACCAGUGAAUUCCUACAGGAAGACUUCAGAAGAAAAGUAGUCUGGCACCUGCAAGUUCCAGCAAGCUUUAUAGAGAAGCCUUAUAUAUAACAGAUCUGAGGCAUUAUCUGAAGUCUGUCUACAUUCAUUAGGAGUCCCUUAAAAAAAAUAUAGAUAAAAGCUAGUCUCAAAUUCUGUUCGCAACUUACACCAGUGAAACCACAGAGUCUUCAAAGGAGCUUUACACAGUGAGAUCUGUACCAUUUUCUUCUUUCAGCAUCCUCACCUGAUGGAAGAACUUGGAUCAGUGGAGUGGGUAUUCACACCUUAAGAUUUGAGCAUUAAUGUGUUUCUUAAGCAGUUGUCUGAGCUCUGAGUAUAGCAAGGAGUUCUUUGCCUGCUGGCUGAUGUACGACAAGACAUCCUCCUAGUGCUUGUGCAUAGAUUUGAAAUUAGUGUGCAUAAGUAGUGUUCUGAUGUGACUUUCAUAUGAAAUAUUGGUAGACAUGUAGCACUCUUACAUUGGUGUAACAUCACCUUGGGUUGUGGGUCUUGUUUUGCCACAGAAAUAAUUUCAGAUAUUUUUUUCCUUUGUCAUAGAUAUUUUCUGAACAAAUCAAUGCAGCGUGAGGAGCUAAAAGAGUUCUGGGCAUUCACAGGCUUUUCAGUAAGAUUAAGAAAUUACAUGUUUAUGAAGGGACAGGAGGUUGCUAUACAAAAGACCUAGGUCUGUCACCAAGUAUUUAUGUAUAUAGAAUAGCGAAUCAAUUUACACUGGCUUUCUGAAAUUUAUAGGUACUCCUUUCUGAAAUUUCUAGGUACUCUACUCAGUGUUUCCUUUCAGUCAUUCUAAGUGUUAUCUCAAAUAAAAAAUGACAUAACCCAAGAUGAUGUCAGAUACUUCAAUGGUUAACAAUCCAGUGAUGAAGCAGCAAGAUAUCCCAGAUGAGCAUUUUCUUUUUUAAUUUUCCUGCCAGUAAAACUUAUCAUAAUAAGGCUAUUUAUUUAUUUAUUUAUUUAACUAGGCUGUUUCUGUAGUUUUUCUGUGAUGUGUGAGCUUGUGGUUACACAUAUGGGUGUCUAUCAAUAUCAGCACAUUUCUACUUUCUUCAUUCACAUAGCGUGAAUCCAUUUUUAUUUUUAUUUUUUUGCUUUAAGUGUUGAGUUUUGUAUGACUGAAGAGUUUAAUUUAUGUUAAAAGAGCUAUUCAAGGGCUUUGAGAACAGGAGUAAUUGUCUCUCAUUUGAAGUUGAGGAAAUAAAAGAGACGGUAAUAAUUAUAUGAUGAAAUUGAAAGAAUAACAAUGCUGGGGAGAAAUUGCCCAUCUACAAAACAAGAGAUAAAAUAGUGGAUGUCUCAACAGUAUUUUGAGAAACAGAUCUACAAUUCCAAGAGUCAGUUCAUCAGAAGUUUCUAUGAUGAGUCUAUUUACCCCUUAAAAUAACUAAAAGGAGUUACAGUUGUCUUUCAUCUGCGCACUUAGAACAAUGGCAGGUGGUUUCAUUACCUUCCUAAACAUAAUAUAUUUUACUUUACCUCUACAGUAUUGACCUAUUUAGCUACCUGAAUGUAGCAUCCUUUUUUUUCCCUACAGAGAGGGGUAUACUCUGAGUUCUCUGUUAUAAACUUCCUACUAGAAAUAUUUCUGAUAUAAAGCACUGCUUGUGGGAGUAGAGCAACAGUCUGUGAAUUACCAUUCUGCUGUGUUCCAGUAUGAUUCCUACAGGAGCUGUCAUCUCAGGCUCAGACCUGUGGGACAGCAACAUCUGCUGAUGCCAGAGGCAGGAAGAAGUGUGGAUCUGAUAUUUGCUUACUGGGAUAAGGAUGUGUUGUGGGACCUUGUCAAAGGCCUUGCAGAAGUGCAGGAAGAUGACAUCUGCUGGCCUUCCUUUGUCCACUGACACUGUCACUCCAUUGUAGAAGGCCACCAGAUUGUUCAGGUAUGAUCUGCCCAUGGCAAAGCCAUGCUGGCUGUCACCUCCUCAUCUCUGUCAUAACUUUACUGCCGGUAGGGUCUGCUCCAUGAUCUUGCCAGCCAUAGAGGUGGGGCACAUCAGUCUGUAUUUCCUCAGGUCUUCCAUUCUUUGUUGAACAUGGCAGUGAUGAGUCUGAUCAAAACUGCCAACUAACUUUUCAUUUACUUAUUUUUACUUGGUGUAUUAGCACCAUCUAAAAAGCCUGAAGUAUAUUUCCUGCCUUUCUUCCUGACUCUGACAAAUGGUAUUGACACAGGCUUUCUCUUUGGCUUCUUUUUUGCUGCACACAAAAAUUUCAUUCAUUAAAUUUCUCGUAAUGAUGAAAAGUCUCUGAGGGAUUGCUUUCCAAAUGUAGAUUGUUAUUUUUGGGUUCAGUGACUUCAUUUAUUUUAGUGAAGGGUAAAAAAAGGGUAGGAAAAGAAAGUUAGGUAGAUAUUUUCAGCAUCUGUAGGAAAUGAGUGUUUACCAACUGCCUGCCUGAGAGUUAGGAACAACCAGAAGCAAUUUCCUAAAUUUUAGAAAAUAUCUCAACAUAUUAGAAUACAAAUUAAGUUAGAGAUUUUUUCAGUAAUGAUAGGGAUACUGAUUUUGUUGGACUUUCUGGGGUUCCAAGACUAUUAUGUUCCUAUUCAAGUGGGGAUUCUAAAACGUGUUCUGCUAUUCCUCCUUGUUGUUCCAUUCUCUGGCUGUUAACUCUCUAUUUCUGAUUUCUCUGUAUUAUAGGACUGGAUAGUCCUAUGCUUUUUUAUUCUCUUUAUUUCCUUCUGCAUCUAUUCAUGUUACAAUGCACUUUCCUCCUAUCUUUCUUUUUACCAUGUUCCUUUCUUCUUCUCCUUUUCCUUUGUUCUCUCCUUCCUAUGACUUUUUCUAAUUUGCUUUCUCGUGUGUCAUUACUGUGCUUCUGUUUCCAGUCAUCACUCUGUAUCCCAUGUUGAGACUUUCAGAAAGAAACAGAGUCUUUUAAAUUAAUUAGAGGAGCUCCUUUCUCCAGUAUUAAAGAAAAACUCUUUCAACUAGAAAAUAUAGUAUGCACACCAACUUUUUCUGUAGUUAGAACUCUAAAUAAACUUCUCUAUUUGUUCAGCUGCAAAAGUAUUCAUCACAAAUGAGGAAAUUCUGAUGUAGAACAUAAUCUAACGCACAGGAGAUGUUCAUAGUAACUUUAGAAAUGUAAAGUGAUACAU
This is a non-coding RNA of Coturnix japonica (Japanese quail), 4869 nucleotides long. Lineage: Eukaryota; Metazoa; Chordata; Aves; Galliformes; Phasianidae. The record is from RefSeq and is a predicted model, not a curated record.